AGAGGUGAGGGCUAUCUGGCUGCGACAUCUGUCAUCUCAUUGAUCGCCAGUGUUGAUUCGGCUGAUCUGGCUGGCUAGAUGGGUGUCCCCCUCCUCCCUCACCGAUCCAUGUGCAUCCCUCCCGAAGCUCGGUCCAAGAGGAGGGCCUCGGUCCAGAGGAGAGGACCGGGACCCAGAGCACACUGGGAUGUAGAAUUCAUGGCCUGAGACGUUCCCUGGUGGCCUGGCCCUGGGG
RNAcentral lists this small RNA (235 nucleotides) under Myotis lucifugus (little brown bat). Its description in RNAcentral is "7SK RNA (ENSMLUG00000020774.1)". The stretch from base 1 to 176 matches the Rfam family "7SK RNA". Rfam says of the family: 7SK was discovered as an abundant small nuclear RNA in the mid-70s but a possible function has only recently been suggested. Two independent studies have found that 7SK RNA binds the CDK9/cyclin T complex (known as elongation factor P-TEFb). P-TEFb activates transcription by phosphorylating the C-terminal domain of RNA polymerase II. Lineage: Eukaryota; Metazoa; Chordata; Mammalia; Chiroptera; Vespertilionidae. The record is from RNAcentral.